AUUGAACGCUGGCGGCAGGCCUAACACAUGCAAGUCGAGCGGAUGAAGGGAGCUUGCUCCUGGAUUCAGCGGCGGACGGGUGAGUAAUGCCUAGGAAUCUGCCUGGUAGUGGGGGAUAACGUCCGGAAACGGGCGCUAAUACCGCAUACGUCCUGAGGGAGAAAGUGGGGGAUCUUCGGACCUCACGCUAUCAGAUGAGCCUAGGUCGGAUUAGCUAGUUGGUGGGGUAAAGGCCUACCAAGGCGACGAUCCGUAACUGGUCUGAGAGGAUGAUCAGUCACACUGGAACUGAGACACGGUCCAGGCUCCUACGGGAGGCAGCAGUGGGGAAUAUUGGACAAUGGGCGAAAGCCUGAUCCAGCCAUGCCGCGUGUGUGAAGAAGGUCUUCGGAUUGUAAAGCACUUUAAGUUUGGGGGAAGGGCAGUAAGUUAAUACCUUGCUGUUUUGACGUUACCAACAGAAUAAGCACCGGCUAACUUCGUG
RNAcentral lists this ribosomal RNA (484 nucleotides) under uncultured bacterium. RNAcentral describes it as "partial 16S ribosomal RNA". It matches the Rfam family "Bacterial small subunit ribosomal RNA", at positions 30 to 507 of the family's 1533-position model. The record is from RNAcentral.